This 408-nucleotide ribosomal RNA is filed under the name uncultured bacterium. Its description in RNAcentral is "bacterial SSU rRNA". It matches the Rfam family "Bacterial small subunit ribosomal RNA", at positions 9 to 420 of the family's 1533-position model. The record is from RNAcentral.
GAGUUUGAUCAUGGCUCAGGAUGAACGCUGGCGGCGUGCUUAACACAUGCAAGUCGAACGAUGAAGCCCAGCUUGCUGAGUGGAUUAGUGGCGAACGGGUGAGUAACACGUGAGUAACCUGCCCUUGACUCUAGGAUAAGCCCGGGAAACUGGGUCUAAUACUGGAUAGGAACGUCUACCGCAUGGUGGAUGUUGGAAAGAAUUUCGGUCAUGGAUGGACUCGCGGCCUAUCAGCUUGUUGGUGAGGUAAUGGCUCACCAAGGCGACGACGGGUAGCCGGCCUGAGAGGUGACCGGCCACACUGGGACUGAGACACGGCCCAGACUCCUACGGGAGGCAGCAGUGGGAAUAUUGCACAAUGGGCGAAAGCCUGAUGCAGCGACGCCGCGUGAGGGAUGACGGCCUCGG